AAUCAACGCUGGCGGCGUGCCUCAGACAUGCAAGUCGAACGCGAAAGUCCCCCCUCGGGGGGACAAGUAGAGUGGCGCACGGGUGAGUAACACGUAGGUAAUCUACCUUCGGGUGGGGAAUAACAAUCGGAAACGGUUGCUAAUACCGCAUAAUGCAGCGGCACCUAAUGGUGACAGUUGUUAAAGCGGGGGAUCGCAAGAUCUCGCGCCUGAAGAGGAGCCUGCGGCGGAUUAGCUAGUUGGUAGGGUAAUGGCCUACCAAGGCGACGAUCCGUAGCCGGCCUGAGAGGGCGGUCGGCCACACUGACACUGACAUACGGGUC
Molecule: ribosomal RNA, 323 nt
Filed under: uncultured bacterium
Lineage: Bacteria
Description: bacterial SSU rRNA
Rfam family: Bacterial small subunit ribosomal RNA
Source: RNAcentral